Molecule: ribosomal RNA, 482 nt
Filed under: uncultured bacterium
Lineage: Bacteria
Description: partial 16S ribosomal RNA
Rfam family: Bacterial small subunit ribosomal RNA
Source: RNAcentral
GAUGAACGCUAGCGGCAGGCCUAAUACAUGCAAGUCGGACGGGAUUCAGGAGCUUGCUUCUGAUGAGAGUGGCGCACGGGUGCGUAACACGUAUGUAACCUACCUUUAUCAGGGGGAUAGCCUCUCGAAAGAGAGAUUAAGCCCGCAUAAAAUCACAGCACAGCAUUGUGUAAUGAUCAAAUAUUUAUAGGAUAAAGAUGGGCAUGCGGAACAUUAGCUAGAUGGCGGGGUAACGGCCCACCAUGGCGACGAUGUUUAGGGGAUCUGAGAGGAUGGCCCCCCACACGGGUACUGAGACACGGACCAGACCCCUACGGGAGGCAGCAGUAAGGAAUAUUGGACAAUGGGCGGAAGCCUGAACCAGCCAUGCCGCGUGCAGGAAGACGGCCCUACGGGUUGUAAACUGCUUUUAUACGGGAAUAAACCCAGAUACGUGUAUCUGGCUGAAUGUACUGUAAGAAUAAGGAUCGGCUAACUCCGUG